GAAAAGGUUUUCUUUAAAACCACUAUAAACUCGAAUACAGUAUCAAU
Non-coding RNA from Loxodonta africana (African savanna elephant), 47 nucleotides. The record is from Rfam. Lineage: Eukaryota; Metazoa; Chordata; Mammalia; Proboscidea; Elephantidae.